This 254-nucleotide ribosomal RNA is filed under the name uncultured bacterium. RNAcentral's name for it is "partial 16S ribosomal RNA". It matches the Rfam family "Bacterial small subunit ribosomal RNA", at positions 524 to 776 of the family's 1533-position model. The record is from RNAcentral.
CACGUAGGCACCAAGCGUUGUCCGGAUUUAUUGGGCGUAAAGAGCUCGUAGGCGGUUCAGUAAGUCAGGUGUGAAAUCUUUGGGCUUAACCCAAAGCGUGCACUUGAUACUGCUGUGACUUGAGUUCGGUAGGGGAGUGGGGAAUUCCUAGUGUAGCGGUGAAGUGCGCAGAUAUUAGGAGGAACACCGGUGGCGAAGGCGCCACUCUGGGCCGAAACUGACGCUGAGGAGCGAAAGCGUGGGUAGCAAACAGG